RNAcentral lists this ribosomal RNA (87 nucleotides) under Enterocytozoon bieneusi H348. RNAcentral's name for it is "18S ribosomal RNA". It matches the Rfam family "Microsporidia small subunit ribosomal RNA", at positions 613 to 700 of the family's 1311-position model. Lineage: Eukaryota; Fungi; Microsporidia; Enterocytozoonidae. The record is from RNAcentral.
UUAGACGUAUCUUAGGAUCAAGGACGAAGGCAGGAGUAUCGAAAGUGAUUAGACACCGCUUAGUUCCUGCAGUAAACUAUGCCGACA